This 957-nucleotide ribosomal RNA is filed under the name Triticum aestivum (bread wheat). Its description in RNAcentral is "partial small subunit ribosomal RNA". Lineage: Eukaryota; Viridiplantae; Streptophyta; Magnoliopsida; Poales; Poaceae. The record is from RNAcentral.
AUGGUGUAUUAUCCGCUCGCCGCCGCCGCGCGCUGCCACUGCCCGCCCCUCCUCCUCCCCCGCCGCGCCCCGCCGGCGACGGCGGCCACCCCGCUCCGUCGCCGCCCCCUCCAGCUCCACCCCCUCACAUCCUCGCCCGGACCGCGGACCCGUGGCCGCCGCCACGCCGUCGACCCCGAGGACGACGACGGCUUCCUCACCCUCGACCUGGACGACCUCGAGGGGUUCGCCGACGGGGACGCGGAGGAGGGGCCGUCGCCGUGGGAGGGGGCCGUGGUGUACCGGCGCGACGCGGCGGCGCAGCACGUCGAGUACGCCACCACCCUGGAGCGCCUCGGCCUGGCCGACCUCUCGUCCCCGCACUCCCGCGCGCGCGCCGCCGCCAUGGGCAUCACGCCCCCCUCCAAGCCGCGGCGCGGCGCCGGGGACGCGGCCGCGACGACGCCCGUGCUCGUCUCCGUCGACGUCGCCCGGCGCCGCGGCCGGCUCCGGCUCGACGGCAUCCUGCGCACCGUCAUCACCCUCGGCUGCUACCGGUGUGCUGAGCCAGCUGCCGAAGGCGUAUUUGCGAAUUUCUCUCUCCUGCUGACAGAAGACCCGGUGGAGGAACCUGACGUGGUCGACCUCGGCACCAUAUACGAAGAAGACAGAACCAAAUUCCCUUCGAUAACCGGCAGCGAGGACGAGAACGAUGAAGAUAUAGACUGGGAUGACCGCCUGCAUUUCCCGGCCGGGGAGAAGGAGAUCGACAUCUCGAAGAACCUUCGGGACAUCAUCCACCUGGAGAUAACGCUGGACGCCUUCUGCAGCAGCACCUGCAAGGGCCUGUGCCUCGUCUGCGGCGCGAACCUCAACACGAGCAGCUGCAGCUGCAGCACGGAGGAGCCGCAGGCCAAGGACGCCAGGCGUCCGGGAACCCUCAAAGACCUGCUGAAGCCUAUGCAGAGAAGAUUAUGA